AUGGAUCAAAUUAGGGCAUUCCCACAAAGGCACAUGUUGCUGCACUGGUCAGCUCGAUUCAGUGGCACCAUGGCUCAGCCAACAGAUGUUCAACUUCCAUCAAAGUCCGGUUAA
Molecule: ribosomal RNA, 114 nt
Filed under: Triticum aestivum (bread wheat)
Lineage: Eukaryota; Viridiplantae; Streptophyta; Magnoliopsida; Poales; Poaceae
Description: partial small subunit ribosomal RNA
Source: RNAcentral